UUGCUCGCUUAGGGAGCACAUAUACUAACCAAAACUGCAACCACACGGAGAAGGUUAGCAUGGCCACUGCACAAAGAUGACACACAAAUUCAUGACGCAUUCUGUAUUUUU
This 111-nucleotide small nuclear RNA is filed under the name Castor canadensis (American beaver). The record is from RNAcentral. Lineage: Eukaryota; Metazoa; Chordata; Mammalia; Rodentia; Castoridae.